RNAcentral lists this ribosomal RNA (463 nucleotides) under uncultured bacterium. RNAcentral describes it as "partial 16S ribosomal RNA". It matches the Rfam family "Bacterial small subunit ribosomal RNA", at positions 28 to 507 of the family's 1533-position model. The record is from RNAcentral.
GAUGAACGCUGACAGAAUGCUUAACACAUGCAAGUCUUUGGCGAAGCUGUGCUUGCACAGCCUAGCCAAGGCGGACGGGUGAGUAACGCGUAAGGAACUUGCCCUGCAGUCAGGGAUAACAGACGGAAACGACUGAUAAGACCUGGUAAAGUCAGGCGGACUCAUGUCCAGCCUGAUGAAAAGAGAUGCUGCAGGAGAGCCCUGCGUCCUAUUAGCUUGUUGGUGGGGUAACGGCCCACCAAGGCGAUGAUAGGUAGCCGGCCUGAGAGGGUGGACGGCCACAAGGGGACUGAGAUACGGCCCUUACUCCUACGGGAGGCAGCAGUGGGGAAUAUUGGACAAUGGGGGCAACCCUGAUCCAGCAAUUCUGUGUGCACGAUGAAGGUUUUCGGAUUGUAAAGUGCUUUCAGCAGGGAAGAAAAAAAUGACGGUACCUGCAGAAGAAGCGACGGCUAAAUACGUG